Molecule: non-coding RNA, 32 nt
Filed under: Callithrix jacchus (white-tufted-ear marmoset)
Lineage: Eukaryota; Metazoa; Chordata; Mammalia; Primates; Cebidae
Also listed under: 2 other names
Source: RNAcentral
ACACGCAAAUUCGUGAAGCGUUCCAUAUUUUU